UGAACUAGAAGCUCGACCGUGAAUCAGGACAGGAACUAAAAAUGUACCGACAUCCGUAUAUUUAACAAAACUGUGAAUCUCAGUCUAUCGCCUCUUCGUCAACAUGAUAACUGAAUAAAAGAAAAACAUCUAAAUCGUUCGGAUUUGAAUUUUUCUUCGUGUGCUAUAGGCUACCCAUUUGUAACGAGUUCAACUGGCAUUUUCCUCGCAUCCAAACAGCCAUUGUGUUUACGCAAAUGAAGAGGAAUUCAAGUGUUUAAUGAGGAGUCCAAGGGCAAGAUACAUGCACUCAGGGCAGCAGUGGGAUGACGGAAGUGGAGCCGGUGUUGGACUUUGCCUCGUCAGGCAGAUCCGGACGCAGGAACGCUCUGCCCGACAUCCUAGGCUCUCCAGCUGGAGUCAACCCCUCUGACCUUCCGCUCAAACUGGCCGAGCUCUCUCUCACUGGUCAAGCCCAGUCCUAUUUAUCUGUGUGGCACAUUAGCAAAAUCAAAUCAUAUGUUUUAUAUGGGCAAAAUAUUUACUGCUAUGUGUAUUUUGACAGUCACACAAAUAUAUGACAGCAAGUUUGUUUCUCGAACAAAUCAGCUCACGACAUUCACUGUCAGGGAGUAACCACUUAAGCUGGACUUGUGCUUUUAUGAACCUUUAUGUACUAGUAGUGAUGGUGGUAGUAGUUGUAAUAAUAUUGAUUAGAGGUGUGUAAGAGUUACAUUUGUGAUGAUAGUAAUGGUAAAGAUAAAAAGACACUAAUGUGAGCUAAAAGUCUCUCUCUCUCUCUCUCUCUCUCUCUCUCUCUCUCUCUCUCUCUCUCUCCCUCUCUCUCU
Electrophorus electricus (electric eel) is the source of this 827-nucleotide long non-coding RNA. RefSeq lists it as uncharacterized. The record is from RefSeq and is a predicted model, not a curated record. NCBI's taxonomy places the organism in Eukaryota, Metazoa, Chordata, Actinopteri, Gymnotiformes, Gymnotidae.